RNAcentral lists this long non-coding RNA (2593 nucleotides) under Fragaria vesca (wild strawberry). Its description in RNAcentral is "long non-coding RNA (FVES_LNC002537)". Lineage: Eukaryota; Viridiplantae; Streptophyta; Magnoliopsida; Rosales; Rosaceae. The record is from RNAcentral.
GCUCGAUCUCAAAUCUGUCUCCAAUUCCAUCGCCGACGACCUCCGGCUCGACCUCGACUUAAUCUCCGAUUCUAACGACGGCUUCUUGCUCGACCUCGGCUGCAUCUCCGAAUUCUUCAACGCCUACGCUCUACCGGUAAAAUUCACAAUCUCAAUCACUCUAAUCAAUUUUCGCUUCUCUGGCCAAUUAUGCUUCAAACUCGAACUGAUUUCAACUUUUUAUUGUAGCACAAUUGGAGAUGUUCUUAGUUUGAAGGCCUGUUCAAUCUCAUUGGUUAUGCUUCGAUCUAUCUAUUUUUACAGAUUUACAAUAAUUUGUCCUCUAUGAGUUUGAGGAGAUAAUGCGAUAUCUAUGUGUGAUGAAUUCAAUAAUGGUUUAUAUUGGUAAAUACAGUUUUGUGGUCUUGUAUUCAAGCAUUGCAGUUUAUAUGUAUGAUGAAUUGAAUAAUUUGUGCUCUUGUAUUCAAGUGUUGCAGUUUUGUACUGGUUUAUAUUGCAUAUGCAAAUAUUAAUCCCAAUCUAUGUCAUCUAUUGAGUUCAAAAAGUGGAUUGAAUCAUGGAGUAAUAAGCAUGUACGUGGGGAUCAAAAUAUAUUGGUAAAUGCAGCACCCCCAAUUUGACCUUAUACCACCCUAACAUCUCUAAUAUGCUCACUAUUUAGGUGAACUUUUAGGUAAAAUAGUUCAGAGUAAUUGAUGAUAGGCAUUCUGCUUUACUCUGUUCAAUAGCAUCGAGCUUGUUGAUACGUUAAGACUUUCCUUCUGCCAAUAAGUGCUCCAGUAAUGUAAACAUCGCUUGCAGUUCACUUGAAAUACCUGGUUCCUUGUAUGAUCUUUUUAUUAGACUUGAAAACCAUUGUGCACAUCACAUGCAGGUACUAGACUUGGACUUCAUCAGAAUAGUUGUAGCACCAUGCAACGUAGUAAGUGUUGAAUUGCUGAUACCGAUAUAUUACGCUUGUAAUUGUUCAUUGUUUAAGAUUGGCUGCCAACCAAAAGAUUAAUUGUUUUACUACUCAAUAGAAUGUAAUUGAGCUCCUUUUGUUUCUACGUAUGAGCUUGAGGAUAUGUCUAGUUGGUGAAUUGAACAAACUUGGGUCAUGAAAUUAGAUUGGUUUAUGUAUUCCAGCUUGCUAAAGGUGCAUUAUAAAGUUGAUUUGAACAUUUGAUACAUAUCACUUUCUUAGUAUGAUUACGAAAUGUGAGAGUUGAUGUACUGUAUACAUUAUAUUAGCAUUGUCAUUUCUUAAAUUCAACGCAUUUUAACAAUUAGACCUCUUAUUGUCUCCAAUAGACCUCAUACUACCCCUAGUAGACCCGAAUAGGUGGUCAUUCUACCCUAAUAGAGACUUGGUACAAGUGACUGAAGCACACAGUUAAGUUCAAAGGUCAUACUGCCCCCAAUAAGAGGUCUUACUGACCCCAAUAUGUGGUCAUACUGCCCCUAAUAGAGACUUAUUAUAAGUGACUGAAGCACACAAUUAAGUUCAAGGGUCAUACUGCCCCUAGUAGGAGGUCCUAUUGACCCCAAUAUGAGGUCCUACUGACCCCAAUAGGUGGUCAUACUACCCCUAAUAGGGGCCUGUUAUAAGUGACUGAAGCACACAGUUAAGUUCAAGGAUCAUACUGCCCCCAAUAGGUGGUCCUACUGACCCCAGUAAGUGGUCAUACUGCCUCUAAUAGGUGGUCAUACUGUCCUCAAUAGACCCCCCGACACACCCCCUACUACCCCCAAUAAACCUCUUGACAAACUCCAUAUUGCCUCGAAUGGACCCCAAUAGACCCCUUACUGCCCUCAAUAGACACCCUAUCGCCAGAAUCCGGUCAACGGUCUUCAGACAGACUUCAUAUUGCCCCCAAUAGACACCCUACUGCCCCCAAUAGAUACCUUUUCGUCGAAAUCCGGUCAACGGUCCCCGUAUCCAAGUCAAUAGUCAUCGGAGUCUUGUUAACGGCCCCUGGAGUCCGGUCAACGGUCGCCGGAUCCCGGUCAAAAGCCGCCGGAGUCUGGUCAACGGCCCCCGGAGUAUGGUCAAUGGUCCCCGGAGCUCGGUCAACGUCAUUGGUCGUGGGAAUCCGGUUAUAAAUACUUUAUUUUAUAAUAGGCUCUUAUAAUGGUCUAUUGCAGUUUAUUUAAUUCAUUAAGGGUAUAAUUAUAUUUAUGCUGUUUAAGUUGUCUCUUGAGAAUUUUAAAAAUCUGAUUUUGUUAGUGGGAAUAAAAUUCUUAAAAUUAGGGCUAGUGGGCAUUGUCCAUUAUCUUAUAGUGUAAAUGAAAAGGAAGUGUUAAUAAUGGACCAAAGUUACCUCAUCAUAUUUCUUCCUAUGGUUUUUUUAACGGUACAUUCGUGUGCUCUACCCAAGUUACAUAUUUAUAUUAUUUGAUCGAAAAUGACAACUAAUUAAUCUUAUGAAAUAGAGCAAAUGCCCAUUUAGUACUAAUUUGAAAAGCUAAUAGCCCAUUCUAAUGAAAAUCAUUUUUCAUUGCCCAUUUACACAAAUCUUAAGAAAAAGACAAUAUUGUCCAUCAUAAAUACCAAACCUACCUCUCCUCUUUCUCAUUUACCCGCUCAGGCCUCUCUCUCUCUCUCUCNNNN